RNAcentral lists this ribosomal RNA (403 nucleotides) under Fusobacteriota bacterium. RNAcentral's name for it is "Fusobacteria bacterium partial 16S ribosomal RNA". It matches the Rfam family "Bacterial small subunit ribosomal RNA", at positions 355 to 776 of the family's 1533-position model. Lineage: Bacteria; Fusobacteriati; Fusobacteriota. The record is from RNAcentral.
UGGGGAAUAUUGCACAAGGGAGGGAACUCUGAUGCAGCGACGCCGCGUGAACGAAGAAGGCUUUCGAGUCGUAAAGUUCUUUUAUAUGGGAAGAUAAUGACGGUACCAUAAGAAAAAGCACCGGCUAACUACGUGCCAGCAGCCGCGGUAAUACGUAGGGGGCUAGCGUUGUCCGGAAUCACUGGGCGUAAAGGGUUCGCAGGCGGAAAUGCAAGUCAGGUGUAAAAGGCAGUAGCUUAACUACUGUAAGCAUUUGAAACUGCAUAUCUUGAGAAGAGUAGAGGUAAGUGGAAUUUUUAGUGUAGCGGUGAAAUGCGUAGAUAUUAAAAAGAAUACCGGUGGCGAAGGCGACUUACUGGGCUCAUUCUGACGCUGAGGAACGAAAGCGUGGGUAGCAAACAGG